GAACUAAGGCGAAUGGUCGCUGCUGCCAAGUGCAGGAGAGGAAAGUCCGGGCUUCAUAGAGCAGGAUGCCUGAUAACGUCAGGUUGAGGUGACUCACAGGAAAGUGCAACAGAAAAGAACCGCCGGUUUCCGGUAAGGGUGAAAAGGGGGUGUAAGAGACCACCGGUUUCCUGGUAACAGGAAAUGCUAUGUAAACCCCAUCCGAAGCAAGGUUAAACAGAGGGCAUAAGGUGGCUCGCCUGCCCUCGGGUAAACCGCUUGAGGCUUAUGGCGACAUAAGUCCUAGAUAGAUGACCAUUUUUAACAUAACCCGGCUUAUAGCCAUAGUUCCCCC
Molecule: non-coding RNA, 334 nt
Organism: Oribacterium sinus F0268
Lineage: Bacteria; Bacillati; Bacillota; Clostridia; Lachnospirales; Lachnospiraceae
Rfam family: Bacterial RNase P class A
About the family: Ribonuclease P (RNase P) is a ubiquitous endoribonuclease, found in archaea, bacteria and eukarya as well as chloroplasts and mitochondria. Its best characterised activity is the generation of mature 5'-ends of tRNAs by cleaving the 5'-leader elements of precursor-tRNAs.
Source: Rfam